GGUGUGUGGCUUUGGGGCCAGAGCCGAUGCUGUCCGCCGGAGCUUCAAACUGGCUAAAAUGCUGAACUGCAACGGACGUUACCAGUUUUCGCCGUUAUCGUUGUCGUUGUCGUUGUCGCUGUGGCUGUCGGUGUCGGUUUUGUUGUUGUUGCUUUCGGAGUUCUCGGUGGGGUCGGAGUUGCAGGCGAGGGUGCUAUGAGCCACCAACAGUUCCAUCACUACCAUCAUCACGACCAGCUGCAGCAAGUGCAAUCGGAAUCGGUAUUGAAAGGGAACUCCUCUUCCGACUUGGGCUGCGAAAGGAAUCCACAGAAUCUGCAUAAUCCGGGCCACUCCACUACCGCACGCGGCAUCGGCGGCGGUGGGUCAAUGGACCUUCGUAAUCUCUGCCAGCGUCUCGAUGUGGAUCGCCUGAGAGCCAAGCUGCCUUCGCUGCCUUCGCUGCCCUCGCUGCCGCAACUGAAGCUCCCGAAAUCGCUCCCCAAGCUCCGCGGUCGCAAGGUCUUCCGCAGCUCCAGGAGAAGCCACAGCAGCAACAGUAACAAGGAUGGGGCCGGGGGAGCAGCAGUCAAAGGAGUCGACGGCGGAGGAAUGUGCACGCUGCCGUUGCCGCUGCCACAACAGUCGCAGCAGUUCAUCAACCGCACACCCCAGCGGAUCUCCACCAUCAGCUCGUUGAUGUACGAGGAGCAGCAGCAGGAGGUGGGCACGGGCAUGGGAAUGGGAAUGGGAAUGGGAAUGGGCCAAGGAACAGGACACAGACAGCCAAGCACCUAUCGAAGUGCGGGGAGUCUGGAUGACGAUUAUUAUGCACCGGACAGCGGAGUCGGGGACCGUGCCUCGCGACCCAUUAGCCCCGUUAAGAUUCCGUCGGCCCCAGUGGAAGGUGGAGGCCAGCCCCCGACUCUGACGCAGCGCAUCCAGAGGGGCUACAAGAGCCUCAGCGAGCUUCGGCUGAAGCAUCUGUUCACCAAGCAGACGAUCCUGAGGCGGGACGACAUCGAGGUGGACCGCUACGUGGAGCAGUACGAGGCCGAGCUACGGUCGGAGCGGCGGGCACUGGCGCGCAGGGAUCGGGAGAUAGCCGACAACUACGACAUUCGAUUCAAGACGCUCGCUAGAUCCGGACAGAACAGUCCCGACCGAGAGGCCGGACAGGCGGAGGAGCGCACGAAGCCCCAGAAGCCGCGCAGCGUGGCCGAGCAGAGUGGAGAUGAGAGCGGAAUGGAGGGCACACCACCACUGCCCGCGAGAAGCAGGAAGCCGGGCAUUGCAGCCACGCGAUUCGCCAAGGUCCGACAGCCGCCGCUGCAAAUGGAGGAGCAGGAGGUGCAGCGGGAGCGCGAGGAGCAGCCGGAUCGGGAGGCUUCGCCGCGUCGCAGCAGCUAUAAACAGCUGUUCCAAAAGCUCCCCAGCUUCCCCAACACCCUUCACAGUCUCCAGAAAGGUCGCAGCAAGGAGGAGAAGGGUGCGGGGGAGGCGGCAUCGAGCACACCUCAAACCCCUCCACCGAAGUCGGCUAUCCGCAAAAACAUCAAGAGGCUGCGCAAGUCCAUCAAGCGGCCAGCGAAGCUCAAGGAGAAGCAGCAGCAGCAGCAGCAGCAGCAGCAGAAGGCAGUCGACGAUUCGGACGAAGAGCCGCAGCAAGGGAGGGAGAGCGACAGGGACAAGGAGCCACCAGCCAAGUCCUCUGGCAAUCUGAGAGCCCGCCUCAGUCGAUUUGCCUCCACGGAGCAGCUGCAGGAGCGCUGGCGCAAGAGCUUCAAGACCGCAGCAACCAAAUCGCAGGAGAGCCCCAAAGGGGGAGCAGGUGCGGCGGCAGGAGCAGGAGUGGGAGCAGCGACCGGAAUGGCCAUUGGAGUCCAACUGGAGCGAACCCUCACGAAGCUCAACGAGAAAAUGCAUCAGCUCAAGUUUUUUCCGCGCCAGGGAGGGGCAGCCUCCUCCCCCUCGGAGACAGUCGGGGGGCAGUCCAAGCCGAACACUGUCGGGCAUGAGCCCGUCUUUAUUGACGACGAUGAGGAGCUGGCUGCCACUUACCAUCACAGCGAUAGCGACGAGGACGAAGAGGAGCGUGGCAGCCAGGACAGCGGACACGAUGUCUGUGCUGCGGAGGCAUUUGGGCAGCAGGAGGAUGACAGCGAGGAUGGGGAUGAAGACGAAGAGGAAAAGGAAGAGACACAGAUGGAGCACCCCCUACCAGGAACUGCGUCCGCCCACGCUGCUCGACAAAUGGCGACGCUGGCUGAGCUACAGGCGGAGGCGGCAAAGGGGGGAUGCCCAAACGGAGGACGCUCCUUCGCGGCCUGGAGCAGCGAUUCGCUGGAGGAGAUCCCCGACGAGGACUACCCCCGAGUGCUCAUCCACCAGGAGCACACCGACGACUCCUGCGAGUCCACGCUGAUCAUCGCCGUAGCCACAAAGACCUCGAAGGCAUCAUCGCCGGCCCUUGUCCGGAGCCCGACCCCAACCCCGACCCCGACCCCGACCCCGACCCCGACCCCGACCGGCACUACCACCCAGUGGCUGCUCAACGAACCGACGGAGCAGCAGCCGGGAGGGGCGGAAGAGGCUGAAUGCUGGCCUGGUCCCCGGCCCCUGUGCAAGCCUAAGAGCAUUGAUAUCUUCGAGGCCUCGGGGGCCGCGUUCGCCGACUUCGACGAGGCGCUCCGCAACGCCCCCAUUCUGAGGAUCAGUGCCGGGAGCAGCUGCGAUACGAGCGGCGAGGAGGCGGACGAUAGCAGCUCCAGGGUCACAAGAAUACGGAUGCAGACCUCCCCAAAGAUCGGCAACAGCAGAGAGAGCCUGAUGGCCCAGGAGCGGGAGGAGGAGCAAGAGCAGGAGCAGGAGGAGGCGAAGGAUGCGGAGGAGGAGGAGGAAAGGGAGAGGCGUGCUCUGGAGCGUCCCCCGUCCGCCUCGCCUCCACCCCCGCCGCUUCCAAAGCGGCGUCCGCCGCAGCGCAGAAUCUUUACUCCGCCACCAGCGCCCAUCUACGAUGCAGUGCCUCCGCCGCUGCCCACCAGCAAGCCCCCGCCCCUGAGCAUGACCACUCCUCCCAAUCGCGCUGCUUCUCCUGCUGUUCCCGCGUCGCUCCCAGCGGUUUCGUCCCUCCCGCAGAGGAGCCGUGCCUCCAUGACGCGCCCGGCCAAGCCGCUGGUCAAGACCAGCUCCCUGCGGCUCACCUACAACGAACAGGUGCUCCCCGGCGACAUUGGUAAGGUGAACAAGCUGAUCUCCCGAUUCGAGGGCGGCCGCCGGCCUCGCCUCUGUCCACGACGGCUCCACAGCGAGGAGUACGAGCUGACCGCCACCUCAGCCAGUUUCAACUGGGACGAGGAUCAGGAUGAUGCAGCGGAGGAGGAGGAUAAUGGACAGAAGGAGGAGGCAGCAUCUCCCAUUACUCCCACCAAUCGACCAGUAGUCAUACCAGAGAUCGUUACCACGCAGCCCAGCAACAGCAACAACAACAACAACAACAACAACAGCCACAAGAGGAGGGAGAAGGAGGAGGAGGAGCUCCUCACCAUGGAACUGUCUUUGGAUCGCCAAAACUCCAACUGCAGCCGCUCGGAGUACGGGUCGCCCCUGGCCUAUCCCUACCCCAGCAGGCGCCGCAGCUCGGCGGCCACUGGAGCUCCCCCUUUCACGCUGCCUGCUCCCCAGCAGCAACAGCAACAGCAACAGCAGCAGCAGCAGCAGCAGCAACAGAGACAGCAGGCACGACGCAGCCGACGAUCCAUGACCCGCGACGAUGAAAACUUUUACAGCUUCGACAGCGACGAAGAGAAUAGCUACUACUCCAUUAGCCCAUCGGGCAGCAGUCGCUACGUGGUGGAGAUCUGAGCAUACAAGAGAUACCAAUGUACCGUCUAGGGUCCCAUAAGGGAUCACUUAUCACUUAUGGGACUACGCUCCCAUAUCGCUUUCAGUCGCGGGCUAGGCUCGACGGGUGCCUCGAAGAAAUCCUUUUUGCCAGACUGCGAGCUGGAUCUACGACAUGUAUCCUACACCCUACACACGGGUAUAUAUUCAUAUACAUAUAUACAUAUAUGUACAUAUAUAGGAUGUAUGAUAGUGAUGGGAAUAUGAAGGACUAGUUUGCAUCGUACAUAAUCUCCGGAUCGACUGUAGUGCGCGAUUGAUCUGCAAGGGUAUGCACAUCCAUUAAACGUCUACUGGAAUUAAUGGAAGUGCGAUUCCAGUACUGCCCUCCGCACGGCAGAAUAUAGUACAUAUAUUUUCCAUAUAAUCGUGCAUAUUAUAUAAUAAGAUGAUCUGUUUUUUUUUUUUGCUAAUUGUGUAAGCGUUUAUUUGCAUAUAGAUAAAGUAUAACAACGAAUUAAAAAAACCUA
Molecule: unclassified non-coding RNA, 4352 nt
Filed under: Drosophila pseudoobscura pseudoobscura
Lineage: Eukaryota; Metazoa; Arthropoda; Insecta; Diptera; Drosophilidae
Description: GA27916
Source: RNAcentral